Long non-coding RNA from Cyprinus carpio carpio, 1029 nucleotides. The record is from Ensembl. NCBI's taxonomy places the organism in Eukaryota, Metazoa, Chordata, Actinopteri, Cypriniformes, Cyprinidae.
AAAAUACCCAAAAGCCUAUAAAACCUAAACGAAAACUCAAAACUUUACGAAACUUGAUGACAACAUGUGUCAGAUGACUCUUAACAAUUAUACAAAGUUUCAUAGAGAUCGGAUCAUAGGUGGUGCUAAAAACGGUUACAAAGGCCUCAAAAACUCAAGAUUUAUAUGGUAAAUAGCCUCAAAUUAGUUAAAAUUCUCAUAUAUUCACACAAACACUAGAUCUUCAUAUCAUAUGAUAGAGCACCUCAUUCUGAAAAACUUUAGGACCAAUGUUGUCAAUAAAACUGUUAAUUAAAUAUUCAAGAUUAUUUAAAAAAGCUACUUUUGCAAACUAGUCCAACGGUUUAAGCUGAAAAUCAAUAAAACCACUGAAGUACAAUUCUCUAGACACUGUAGGUCAAUAAUUAUCAAAAAAAAAAAAAAAUUUUAAACAAUUGCAUUUGGACAACUAUUAAGCGGUCAUUUUAUUAUAUGUUCUUAACAUAGUGUACCCAAAGGCCUAUUAAUACAAACAGACAGCCCACAAAUUAUCAAAACUGUGUAAAAUAAUGCAUAUUUUCAUUCUAGAGAAGCAUGCAAAAUUUAAGAGGGAUUGGGCAAAAAAUAACACUCUAAUAGUUAUAAAUUUUAAAAACACAGUGUUGUAUGAGAAAUUGCCAUAUUUAACCACUAGAUGGCAGCGGAAGAUCACUAAUGGGCUAAUUCAUCUAACAUUAAACAGUUCAAAGGUUUUAUGGAUUCAUGUCAAAACAAUUAAAAACCAAUGUUAUAACAUUUAAAAUCUCGUUGAGUCAAAGUUUGUCAGCCAUACAUCCAGGUUGGCCGAGACCAUCCCAAAGGUCUUAAAGUGCUUGAACCCCGGUAAUCGCUGCUUGCAGCUAUAUUUAUUAGGGGUUCAAGCACGCAGUGCUGAAACCCUCUUGUAAUUGUUAGGAUUAUUAUUAUUAUUAUUAUUAUUAUUAUUAUUAUUCUUCUGCCCUAAAACUGAUCGUGCAGACCAAACCGUAAGGCCUAGAGACUUGAAAUUUG